Chlorocebus sabaeus (green monkey) is the source of this 106-nucleotide small nuclear RNA. Lineage: Eukaryota; Metazoa; Chordata; Mammalia; Primates; Cercopithecidae. The record is from Ensembl.
UUGCUCACUUUGGCAGCACGUAUACUAAAAUUGGAAUAGUACAGAGAAGAUUAGCAUGGCUCCUGCACAGGAUGACACGUCAAGUGUGCAUGCUGUCUCUCUCUCU